GGACACGCCCCUUUGAGCUGCGUGCUACAGCGAGGCUAAGCUAGUGGGGGAAAAGUUUCAGUGCAUUCCGUUGAUGUAGACGGCGUGAAAACGGAAACAAGUAUGCUGGCUCACUGUGCUGCAUACAAUUGCACACUGCGUCGUACGACUGAGACAAGGAAACUUGGAAGGACUUUUCAUAGGUUUCCCAGAGACUAUGGGUUGAGGAGGAAGUGGAAGUUUGUCGGCUUAGACCUGGUGUCAUUCCAUCAGUGUUAAACUUCCCGGCUCAUCUUGGAAGAGUACGUGCCAGAAAGACCACGACCAAGCAGCCUUGAGAUCUUAGGCAGCGUCUCCCUGAGACCAAAGAACUACAGACUCUUCACAACCUGCUCAAACUCUUGGUACAGGACCUCACUACACGGGUCAAAGUUUCCUUCUCAUUUCUACUCUGAAGCUUACCUUCUCCUGCUCAAACUGCUGACAAAUGUUUCUGCUGCUCUAAAGUCUGGUCUCCAGAACUUCCUAAAAACUCUCAGACUCUUCUGCUGCAGGUUGCUUUGUAGAACUGUUCCAGAAAACCUCACUAAACCACAUGGAGGGGCCUCAAGAUAGUCGUCCAAAUGAAACCAUACAAAAACCAAACUAGCACAACCCAAACGCUAAAGUCUCCUGCAGCCUACCAGAGAACCUCUGAGAACAGAGAAUCAGGACAGGAACUCUUACCUUCUGGACAACCAACGUUGGUUCUCAAACAAGAAUACAGAAUGUGUCUGACCAAAAACCUCUGAAGACUCACUACAGCCAAGAUAAAGACACAACUCAGCUGCAGCAAAUCCACUAAUCACUGCACACAUUAGUACCAUGUGCUAACUGUGGCUAAAGAACCACAUUUACCAAGACAACUAUCCAGUACAAAGCCCUAAAACACACCAAGAAACACAUUAAAGACGAUUUUACUGCUGGAAGCUGCAAGCCAACGCCUAAAGAACAGAGUAAAGCAACGGAGCUAAACCCGGUUCACUGGUGAAGAGAAGCAGAGGAAAUGUUUGGCUGCAGCUAAAUAAAGCAGGAAGACACUGAGCUGCUCAGGUGUUCCUGAUAACACCAAGCAGCCACCUGGACAGCCAAUAGGAACACAGCUUACUGGAAGUCCAGAGGGCUGGGUUAGUGAAGGAAAUUUAAUUUAAAGUUGAAGCAGAAAGUUAAUAAAGUUGAAAACCACCUUCUGAU
Molecule: long non-coding RNA, 1212 nt
Organism: Amphiprion ocellaris (clown anemonefish)
Lineage: Eukaryota; Metazoa; Chordata; Actinopteri; Pomacentridae
Source: Ensembl